This 207-nucleotide ribosomal RNA is filed under the name uncultured bacterium. RNAcentral describes it as "partial 16S ribosomal RNA". It matches the Rfam family "Bacterial small subunit ribosomal RNA", at positions 568 to 774 of the family's 1533-position model. The record is from RNAcentral.
UUCGUAGGUGGCCAACUAAGUCAGACGUGAAAUCCCUCAGCUUAACUGGGGAACUGCGUCUGAGACUGGAUGGCUUGAGUGCAGGAGAGGAACGCGGAAUUCCAGGUGUAGCGGUGAAAUGCGUAGAUAUCUGGAGGAACACCGGUGGCGAAGGCGGCGUUCUGGACUGCUACUGACACUGAGGAACGAAAGCCAGGGAGGCAAACG